AGACGCUGCAGCGAUGCCUCGCCCACGGCGGGUCAGUCAGCUCCUGGAUCUAUGCCUUUGGUGCUUCAUGAAGAAUAUUUCCAGAUAUCUCACAGACAUUAAGCCUUUGCCUCCCAACAUAAAAGAUAGACUGAUUAAAAUAAUGAGCAUGCAGGGACGGAUAACAGAUUCAAAUAUAAGUGAGGGUCACGCUCUGUUGCCCAGGCUGGAGUACAGUGGUGCAAUCUCAGCUCACUGCAACCUCCGCUGCCUGGACUUCGGUGAUCCCUCUUCAGCCUCCUGAGUAGUUGGGACUAUAGGUGUGAACCACCAUGUCUGGCCCACAUUUUAGAAUAUUAUAAAGUAUGAGGGUUUGUUUUUUUCCCUCCAGAUAAGAUAACCAAAAUGUCCAUAUGUAAUUAUCAGGGGAACCUGCCCCCAAUAUUUCAAUGUAGGUUCUUUCUAUUUUCCCUAAGUGUCGGCUGAUCUGAGAAAUAAAGAGAAAGAGUACAAAGAGAGGAAUUUUACAGCUGGGCCACCAGGGGUGACAUCACAUAUCAGUAGGACUGUGAUGCCCACCUGAGCCGCAAAACCAGCAAGUUUUUAUUAAGGAUUUCAAAAGGGAAGGGGUGUACGAACAGGGAGUAGGUCACAUGCUUUAAGGGGCAAAAAG
This 652-nucleotide small RNA is filed under the name Pongo abelii (Sumatran orangutan). RNAcentral's name for it is "processed transcript". Lineage: Eukaryota; Metazoa; Chordata; Mammalia; Primates; Hominidae. The record is from RNAcentral.